This 231-nucleotide long non-coding RNA is filed under the name Nicotiana benthamiana. RNAcentral's name for it is "long non-coding RNA (NBEN_LNC012117)". Lineage: Eukaryota; Viridiplantae; Streptophyta; Magnoliopsida; Solanales; Solanaceae. The record is from RNAcentral.
CGGAUCCAGGAUUUUGAGUUCGUGGGUGCUUAACUUUUUUAAUUGGAGCAAAAGAAAGUUAGUGGUUGAUAAAUGGAGGAAAAAGUCUAUAUAGGGGCGUGAGUGAGAUUUGAUCUCUCGACCAUAUACUCAUUUAGGGCCCUUCAACAUCCAACAUAACCAAAGCACCCACCAAGCCUUAUGUUAUCUGGGUGCUUGCUAUUUUGUUAUAUCCGUUUUCUUAAGUUUUUU